RNAcentral lists this ribosomal RNA (395 nucleotides) under uncultured eukaryote. Its description in RNAcentral is "partial 18S ribosomal RNA". It matches the Rfam family "Eukaryotic small subunit ribosomal RNA", at positions 592 to 976 of the family's 1831-position model. The record is from RNAcentral.
CAAUAGCGUAUAUUAAAGUUGUUGCAGUUAAAAAGCUCGUAGUUGGAUUUCUGAAUUGAAUAUCCGGUCCGCUCGUCUCUGAUGAGUGCGUACUUAUGGAUAUUGGAUUCAUUUUUUGUGAGGACAUUUAUCUGUCAUUAGGUUGAUGGAUUUAUAGACUUGCAUCGUUUACUGUGAAAAAAUUAGAGUGUUUAAAGCAGGCGUUCGCCCAUUUGAAUACAUUAGCAUGGAAUAAUAAGAUAUGACUUUGGUGGUCUAUUUUGUUGGUUUGCACACCAGAGUAAUGAUUAAUAGGGACAGUUGGGGGUAUUCAUAUUUCAACGUCAGAGGUGAAAUUCUUAGAUCGUUGAAAGAUGACCUUAGGCGAAAGCAUUUACCAUGGAUGUUUUCAUUAA